UACGAGAGGCCCAAACGUUAUUCGGAAUUACUGGGCUUAAAGAGUUCGUAGGCGGUAUGAAAAGUAGGGUGUGAAAGCCCUCGGCUCAACCGAGGAAUUGCGCUCUAAACUGUCGUACUCGAGGAACCUAGAGGUGAGCAGAACAGAUGGUGGAGCGGUGAAAUGCGUUGAUAUUGGAAGGAACGCCGGUGGCGAAAGCGACACACUGGACCUUGUCUGACGCUGAGGCACGAAAGCUAGGGGAGCAAACAGG
Molecule: ribosomal RNA, 253 nt
Filed under: uncultured bacterium
Lineage: Bacteria
Description: partial 16S ribosomal RNA
Rfam family: Bacterial small subunit ribosomal RNA
Source: RNAcentral